CGGGAUCCCCCACGGGGUGCAGCCUGGGACUGUGGGACCACUGUGCCCCCUUAACUCUCUCCAGCCUGGCCUGUCUCUCACAAUGCCUUGCCAGUGACCAGCAGCAAACCCCUCCGGGCGCAGUGAUCACUCAGCACAACAGCAUGUGGAGCCACAC
Long non-coding RNA from Dermochelys coriacea (leatherback sea turtle), 157 nucleotides. RefSeq lists it as uncharacterized. The transcript is spliced from 4 exons. The record is from RefSeq and is a predicted model, not a curated record. NCBI's taxonomy places the organism in Eukaryota, Metazoa, Chordata, Testudines, Dermochelyidae.